AACGAACGCUAGCGGCAUGCCUAACACAUGCAAGUCGAACGAGACCUUCGGGUCUAGUGGCGCACGGGUGCGUAACGCGUGGGAACCUGCCCUUAGGUUCGGAAUAACUCCCCGAGAGGGGUGCUAAUACCGGAUAAUGUCUUCGGACCAAAGAUUUAUCGCCUUUGGAUGGGCCCGCGUUGGAUUAGCUAGUUGGUAGGGUAAAAGCCUACCAAGGCGACGAUCCAUAGCUGGUCUGAGAGGAUGAUCAGCCACACUGGGACUGAGACACGGCCCAGACUCCUACGGGAGGCAGCAGUGGGGAAUAUUGGACAAUGGGCGAAAGCCUGAUCCAGCAAUGCCGCGUGAGUGAUGAAGGCCUUAGGGUUGUAAAGCUCUUUUACCCGGGAUGAUAAUGACAGUACCGGGAGAAUAAGCUCCGGCUAACUCCGUG
This 433-nucleotide ribosomal RNA is filed under the name uncultured bacterium. RNAcentral's name for it is "partial 16S ribosomal RNA". It matches the Rfam family "Bacterial small subunit ribosomal RNA", at positions 29 to 507 of the family's 1533-position model. The record is from RNAcentral.